UUCCAAAAGAAGGGAUUCCCGUAUAGAAUUGAAUAUACCCGUAAAAAUCUUCGUAGUAUCUCCAACUUGCUAUAGCUUUUAUGCGGAGCAUCUGAGUCUUGCAAAUGUCAAAUAGCCGGUAUGGCCUCUGGCUUCAGCAGACGGCCUUGCCAUGAUAGCUG
Molecule: long non-coding RNA, 161 nt
Organism: Rhodamnia argentea
Lineage: Eukaryota; Viridiplantae; Streptophyta; Magnoliopsida; Myrtales; Myrtaceae
Exons: 3
Source: RefSeq, a predicted model, not a curated record